GAUGAAGAACGCAGCGAAAUGCGAUACGUAAUGUGAAUUGCAGAUUUCAGUGAAUCAUCGAAUCUUUGAACGCACAUUGCGCCCGCUAGUAUUCUGGCGGGCAUGCCUGUUCGAGCGUCAUUUCAACCAUCAAGCCCUAGGCUUGCGUUGGAGCCCUGCGGCUGCCGCAGGCUCCCAAAUCCAGUGGCGGGCUCGUCGUCGUACCGAGUGCAGUAAACAUCCUCGCUCAGGGAACGUGACGGGUUCUUGCCGUGAAACCCCCCACAUAUCAAGGUUGACCUCGGAUCAGGUAGGAAUACCCGCUGAACUUAAGCAUAUCAUAAGCGGAGGA
This 331-nucleotide unclassified non-coding RNA is filed under the name soil metagenome. Its description in RNAcentral is "partial contains 5.8S ribosomal RNA, internal transcribed spacer 2, and large subunit ribosomal RNA". The stretch from base 1 to 120 matches the Rfam family "5.8S ribosomal RNA", at positions 35 to 154 of the family's 154-position model. The record is from RNAcentral.